ACUGUAGAAUGUGUAAACAUACUCCUGUAAAUAUCGUAACAGUGAUGAGUGAUCCAUGACAAUAAACAAACAUUGUCAAAACAAGCCAUUAAGUCAAAUAUUCAACUAGAGUUCAUUAGUUCAAUCAGCUUUAAGGCUAAGCUUUUAACUUAACUGAAUUUGCAAUGGCAAAAUUAAGUAUUUUUGUGAAAACUUAACAAAUCACACAGAAAUAUACACUCUUUUAAGCUUUGACAAUAUUAUUUACUUAAGAGUUUGCAGGUUAAUAAGCUAACAUGCAGAUGCUCCACAUUGCUUCACAGCUUACUUAUUUGGCUGUUGCUGCGAAUUUUGGUUCAAUUUUCACUGUUCUUAUCUGUUGUGCAGCAAUGAUUCUUUUCAUUCGACAGUUUAGGCUUUAUGAGUUUGAACCAACUGGGACUUCAGUUGUACAAGUAAAACAACCAGCCCAACAACAACUAUUGAAUAAAGUUAACUUGCCCUUCUCGCUGGAAGUAGGAAAACUUGAUUCAAGUGAUUUGUCAGGAAAUUAUCACUUGACUUUGUACUCUACCAGCUAUUUUCCAUGCCUCUUUGUUGUUUGUAGAGAAAUGUCAUCAGAUGUAGUUAAAAAUUUGAUAAAUGAACCAUGGCAAACAUUUUUAGAGUUCUUCAGAUCUGAAAUGAAAAUAUGUCCUAAUUUACAAAUAUAUGCUGAAGAGGAGACUCAUGAAUUAAAGCCUUUUUCAAUAAAGGGUGCACUUGAUUGCAUACCAAGGACGGCAUAUGCUUUAGUGGCGUUUCAUAUUAGAACCGAUGCUGAAUACAUGAAUGAUGGAGAUCCAACGGCUCUAAUAACUCUAAUACAUAUUCCUGAUCGCUACUGCAAUGCCCCGGCAACAACUUUGUUUCAGUAUUUAAAAUGCAACGAUGGAAGAGUAUUAAACCUCAAGCCGCUUUAUUCGCCAGAGAAGUCAAGGAUUACGCCAAAUGGAGACGAUUCAAGGCAAAGGCACGAUAACCAAGGCAACAUUAAUUGCGUUAUCUGUUGGAAUUUUCCAGCUACUCAUGUUUUGCUACCUUGCAGGCACGCUUGCCUCUGUGUGAAUUGCUUCAAACGUGUAGAAAACUGCCCUGUUUGCCGCACUCGUGUUAUGUCUUACUUUUUAGUGUAGAGAUUAGAGAAAGCUAGCACAUACCGCUGAUGUUAAAUUGAAUGCCAAGAAACAAAUAUGAAAAGUCUUUUUUAUAGUUAGUUAUUUAAUUUCGUAUAUUUAAAGAGACUGGGUUAUUGUUUUGCCUCCAAUAAUAAUGUUUCUAUUUCGUUUUUUAAUUGGUUUUUUAAUGUAUCUCAUGUUUUAUGGCAAGCCGUUCGUGCCACAUUUCACGGAAAAUCCAAAAAUGUAAUUAGGUUAGGUUAUAGGAACGCAAGCGUGAAUGUAUAUACAUUUACAUAGCACACUACACAAGCGUCAUUAAACCGUUAACGGUUUAGUAAAAUUCAAAUCUCCCACACUAGAUGGCGAAAUCGUCGAGUGCCCCAUAUCCGGCAAAUUUGUCGUCUGAUUUGGACCUUCUUUAAAAAACAGCAAUAUGGCGACCACGUUGCGAUCAUGCUUUCCGAGUUGCAACCAAAUUGUGAGUAUCGGGAUCGUAGUAGGUAGUAGCCAAAUUUGCCGUUCGAAAACAGCAGUGGAAAACACUCGGAAAAUACCGUUUACCGUGGAUUGUUGUCGGGGAGAAGGAAACUCAGUUCCUAAGCCAAAAUUAGUUAGGUAGUAAAAGAAAGAAAAUUUUUGAAUACAUUUACGAAGAGGGGUUGCGAAACGUGAACGUACGAAAUCAGCCAGAGUUUCCGGACCUACCACAUUUAUUUUUGUUUUAGUUGGAAUAGUGGAAUACCCGUGGUGAAGUACCUAACUGGACAGCAGAAAAGGAAACAGGGCACAUAACAGCCAGGUGAUAUUUUUAGAGGUUUGGUGUUGCAACCGGUGAGUCCAUCCAUCAAAUUAUCCCACCCGAAAACAGUCCCCUGGUGGAUUUUGGUCCCCAUUCAAGCCACCUACAUCAUACCCACUUUGAUGAUCUUCUGCCCAUUCUCAAAGAGGCUGGUCAAGAUUUACUUAUUCUUGUUUGGAGGAAUUCUUCAGAAGUCCUCAUCAAGGAUCAGCCUCAGUCAGACGAUAGUAAAUUAGCCUUCCAAUCCUACCAGGGAGAGUUUUCCGCUAUUUAUCAAGAAGAGCAAAAGUGUAAAUGUCAAUUGGAAAUUGUUCUGCAACUGCAAGGCCAUGAAAACUGGAUGUACGGGCUCCAUUGGCAAUCGCUCGUGUUAAAAGGUGUUCUUCCUCUUUCCUGUUCCAUGGACGAUCUGCGUGAGGUAGAUCCUUCCAGCGGCAUUGGGUUCUGAAAUAUUUGGGUUACGAGUUACCAUCGACAUCGACGUGCAAAUACUCCGCCAACAGACUAUGUAAACCAGUGCACGAUCAAUCCAAUUGGGUCAGUAAGAAAAACCAGACGCAAUGAAAAAAAAAGACCGUAAAUGUUACUUGUCGCUCAAGUUUUCCAUUUUCUAACCUUUAUCACCUCCAUUAUGCAAAUGGCGUAAAGCACCAGAUUUAGAAACACAAAGGUGAUCAAUGAAGUUAGACCGUAUCACGAAAUCGUUAAAGAUUUCCACCAGGGCCCGAAUAACUCGCUGGUUUGGAACUACCCACAGACCUCUAUUCAAGAAUUGUCUCAUUUAUCCGCCCAAACUGCCUCCAAUCGUUGAGCGAAUUUGUUUUGUAAGUUCGAACCCUAUGCAUGUUCAGAAAAAGAAAAGGUGGCCAUGGGUCAUUAUCUUAUUUUUUUUUUCCAAUUUUUCUGGGUCUCUAUUAUUUUCUACCUGAGAUUUAUCAAUAAUUAUGUAGGAUAAUAGAAGUUAAUGAAUGUUUUUAAAAACCAUGCCAGUUAUCAACAUUGUCCUAAAUACCUUUACCAAUCUUCCAAAAGGCGUAACCUGAUAAGAGUAACUUAAUUUUAUAUGUUAUCAAACAUAAUUCGUUCGGCAGGUUUACAACCAGUAACUAUAUUAGGGAAUGCAAAAUUAGAAUUUUUUAGUAUAUCAGUUGAGAUCUUUUCACGUUUGAUGUAUUGCGAAUUUCCAUUUUUGUUCAAGAAGCAGUUGAAGAACCGAAAUAUCCAACGCUUAUUAGCAUAUAGGGCGAAUCGCCUCGAAAUGAUUCAUCUUUGUGUAUGAAACAGAUUUUCAAAAAAAUAAAUUUGCAUUGCAAUGUAUUACCUUCGAUUAGGAAGACUUCCGAAGCCUAGCCCAAAUUCCAACAUUCAUUGUUUCUUUACCUUCGUCAUGAGGUGGCGCGUACAAGGGAAAAUUCGUCAACAUUUUUAACAUUGUCACUUCGUAAUACAGUUGUCCUUCUAUGAAGUACACGCCUCAGCAAGACCGAGCAGGAUUGCGGUUUCAAAACAUAACCAGUCACCUUAUCGCUUCAACAAUUCCGUUGAAAUAGGUCGCUAUCUCCCCUGAAUAAAAGAUCACAUUCAAUGCCAGUUGGCACGUUCCUUUUUGAACAAUGGAAAAAAUUAUUGCCCUUGCCCUUUCCCUAUAAAGGUUUCUAAUUACGAAUAAUUUGUUAUUCCGAUCAUUUCAAUAAUGAUCAAUGGCAAUACAACGAAAAAUUCACGAAUGCGUAGUUCUUGAAUUUUCUGGGAGAAAACGGGGAAUCCUAAACCGGCCGAGCGACUUCCUGGAGCAAGAAUUUGACCAUGAACAAAUAAACCCAAAUAUCAUCUUACCGUUAGACUAAAAGGUAACCAAAACAUUGUGAAGAACGUAUAUGGACCCGGAGGAUCUUCCAAUUUGGCUAAGUUUAAAACGGAAUGGAAGGCAAUGUUGUUGAACCGACUGGAUGGGAAGAGAGAAACAUUCCAUCAUAGCCCGAAGGCCCCGAACCCAUGUCUGGGUAUAUGGCCUGAAUUGACAAAAGGAAAGAAUGCAUGAAUUUUAACCCUCCCCCAGUCAUCAAUCUCACCCAGGGUUGGGGUAACCAGACGAUCUGUAAACAGGCGAUGAAUUUCACGACUGCGAGGAAAGAGAAAAACAAAAACGGAUUUGACCAUCAGGAACUUCGUAACCUUUUAAGAAUCAGAAGCGUCUCCAAUGGACAUGCAUGGGCAUGGGGAGAAAGUGUCCGACUAGGAAAAAUCUCGGAAAGACCAGUCUCUUGUUUUGAUGAAGCCAAGGCUCAGGAGCACUAAACUGUAAAUAAAAUUGGACAAA
This 4258-nucleotide long non-coding RNA is filed under the name Daphnia pulex (common water flea). Its description in RNAcentral is "uncharacterized LOC124192873, transcript variant X3". The record is from RNAcentral. Lineage: Eukaryota; Metazoa; Arthropoda; Branchiopoda; Diplostraca; Daphniidae.